AUGGUGGCUCAGUGGUUGAGUGCUUGCCUUGCAUGCAUGAAGCCCUGGGUUCAAUUCCCCAGCACCAUA
This 69-nucleotide transfer RNA is filed under the name Dipodomys ordii (Ord's kangaroo rat). It matches the Rfam family "tRNA". Rfam says of the family: Transfer RNA (tRNA) molecules are approximately 80 nucleotides in length. Their secondary structure includes four short double-helical elements and three loops (D, anti-codon, and T loops). The record is from Rfam by way of RNAcentral. Lineage: Eukaryota; Metazoa; Chordata; Mammalia; Rodentia; Heteromyidae.